This 498-nucleotide ribosomal RNA is filed under the name uncultured bacterium. Its description in RNAcentral is "partial 16S ribosomal RNA". It matches the Rfam family "Bacterial small subunit ribosomal RNA", at positions 28 to 507 of the family's 1533-position model. The record is from RNAcentral.
GACCAACGCUGGCGGCGUGCCUAAUACAUGCAAGUCGAACGAGAGCAACCGGUGCUUGCACUGGUCAAUCUAGUGGCGAACGGGUGAGUAACACGUGGGUAACCUGCCCAUCAGAGGGGGAUAACAUCCGGAAACGGAUGCUAAAACCGCAUAGGUCUUCGAACCGCAUGGUUUGAAGAGGAAAAGAGGCGCAAGCUUCUGCUGAUGGAUGGACCCGCGGUGCAUUAGCUAGUUGGUGAGGUAACGGCUCACCAAGGCCGUGAUGCAUAGCCGACCUGAGAGGGUGAUCGGCCACAUUGGGACUGAGACACGGCCCAAACUCCUACGGGAGGCAGCAGUAGGGAAUCUUCCGCAAUGGACGCAAGUCUGACGGAGCAACGCCGCGUGAGUGAAGAAGGUUUUCGGAUCGUAAAACUCUGUUGUUAGAGAAGAACAAGUGCUAGAGUAACUGUUAGCGCCUUGACGGUAUCUAACCAGAAAGCCACGGCUAACUACGUG